GCCUGAGGGGCUCAGUCAGUUAAGCAUCUGAUUUUGGUUCAGGUCAUGAUCUCAUGGUUCAUGGGUUCAAGCCCCACCUCUGGCU
Molecule: transfer RNA, 85 nt
Filed under: Felis catus (domestic cat)
Lineage: Eukaryota; Metazoa; Chordata; Mammalia; Carnivora; Felidae
Rfam family: tRNA
About the family: Transfer RNA (tRNA) molecules are approximately 80 nucleotides in length. Their secondary structure includes four short double-helical elements and three loops (D, anti-codon, and T loops). Further hydrogen bonds mediate the characteristic L-shaped molecular structure. tRNAs have two regions of fundamental functional importance: the anti-codon, which is responsible for specific mRNA codon recognition, and the 3' end, to which the tRNAs corresponding amino acid is attached (by aminoacyl-tRNA synthetases). tRNAs cope with the degeneracy of the genetic code in two manners: having more than one tRNA (with a specific anti-codon) for a particular amino acid; and 'wobble' base-pairing, i.e. permitting non-standard base-pairing at the 3rd anti-codon position.
Source: Rfam by way of RNAcentral